ACAUAACUGAUGCCUCCGCGUAUCGACUUUGUGCGCAUUUUAGCUAUUAUGUGUUCUUUUAAUUAAAAUGAUUCUUUUUAAGAUUCAUCUAUUAAAAAUUUGCUUCGGCAUAAUUUUUUUUGAUGAUCUUGUUACUUUGAGUAAAUUAGAGUGUUCAAAGCAAACAGAUAUAGCAUUUGUGCGUUUGAAUACUACAGCAUGGAAUAACAAAAUUGAACAAGUCAGAAUUUUUUUGUUCUUUUUUCUUAUUUUGGCUUAGUUACGAUUAAUAGGAGUAGCUUGGGGGCAUUUGUAUUCAGAUGUCAGAGGUGAAAUUCUUAGAUUUUCUGGAGACAAACAACUGCGAAAGCAUUUGCCUAAAAUACUUCCAUUAAUCAAGAACGAAAGUUAAGGGAGUGAAGACGAUCAGAUACCGUCGUAAUCUUAACCAUAAACUAUGCCGACUAGGCUUUGGAUGAAAGAUUUUAAAAUAAGAGUUUUUCUUUUCUCUCCGGAGAUUAGAACUCUUAGAUUGCUUCCUUCAGUGCCUUAUGAGAAAUCAAAGUCUUUGGGUUCUGGGGCGAGUAUUCGCGCAAGCGAGAAAGUUAAAAGAAUUGACGGAAGGGCACCACCAGGCGUGGAGCUUGCGGCUUAAUUUGACUCAACACGGGAAAACUCACUAGUUUAAGACAAGAGUAGGAUUGACAGAUUAAUAGCUCUUUCUUGAUUUCUUGGAUGGUGAUGCAUGGCCGUUUUUAGUUCGUGAAUAUGAUUUGUCUGGUUAAUUCCGAUAACGAACGAGAUCUUAACCUGCUAAUUAGCGGCAAAUACGAUAUAUUCUUAUGUAGAAUUGAAUAUAGUGGAUUUGUUGGAUUUUGAAGAAAAUAUUGGAAUUACGUUUAAAUGUGAUUCCUUUCCCUUCUCUACUUAAUUUACAUUUCCAUCUAUUUCUUUUUUGCGUAUGAAUGUAUUUGCUUGAUUGUAAAGCUUCUUAGAGGAACGAUGUGUG
RNAcentral lists this ribosomal RNA (988 nucleotides) under Plasmodium knowlesi. RNAcentral describes it as "SSU rRNA". It matches the Rfam family "Eukaryotic small subunit ribosomal RNA", at positions 638 to 1428 of the family's 1831-position model. Lineage: Eukaryota; Apicomplexa; Aconoidasida; Haemosporida; Plasmodiidae. The record is from RNAcentral.